CAGCGUAACGGGUAGCAAUACCUGUUGACGGCGACCGGCGCACGGGUGCGUAACGCGUAUGUAACCUACCGUUCACAGGGGGAUAGUCAGAGGAAACUUUGAAUAAUACCGCAUAAAACAGCGGUCCGGCAUCGGAAUAUUUGUUAAAGGUGGCGACACGGUGAACGAUGGGCAUGCGUUCGAUUAGAUAGUUGGUGAGGUAACGGCUCACCAAGUCUACGAUCGAUAGGGGGUCUGAGAGGAUUAUCCCCACACUGGUACUGAGAUACGGACCAGACUCC
RNAcentral lists this ribosomal RNA (281 nucleotides) under uncultured Bacteroidota bacterium. RNAcentral describes it as "uncultured Bacteroidetes bacterium partial 16S ribosomal RNA". It matches the Rfam family "Bacterial small subunit ribosomal RNA", at positions 65 to 339 of the family's 1533-position model. The record is from RNAcentral. Lineage: Bacteria; Pseudomonadati; Bacteroidota.